Molecule: ribosomal RNA, 381 nt
Filed under: uncultured marine Chaetocerotaceae
Lineage: Eukaryota; Bacillariophyta; Thalassiosirophyceae; Chaetocerotales; Chaetocerotaceae
Description: SSU rRNA
Rfam family: Eukaryotic small subunit ribosomal RNA
Source: RNAcentral
AGCUCCAAUAGCGUAUAUUAAAGUUGCUGCAGUUAAAAAGCUCGUAGUUGCAUUUCCGAGGCAAGGGAUUAGUCCGACCUUUGGUGGGUAUUUAAUCCUCUUGCCUCGUCCUUGAGUGGUGCUUCUUGGUAUUAAGUUAUCGAGGAGAUAGCCGCUCAUCGUUUACUGUGAGAAAAUUAGAGUGUUCAAAGCAGGCUUAUGCCGUUGAAUAUAUUAGCAUGGAAUAAUAAGAUAGGUCCUCGGUACUAUUGUGUUGGUUUGAGAACCAAGGUAAUGAUGAAUAGGGACAGUUGGGGGUAUUCGUAUUCAGUUGUCAGAGGUGAAAUUCUUAGAUUUACGGAAGACGAACUACUGCGAAAGCAUUUACCAAGGAUGUUUUCA